This 737-nucleotide ribosomal RNA is filed under the name uncultured bacterium. RNAcentral's name for it is "bacterial SSU rRNA". It matches the Rfam family "Bacterial small subunit ribosomal RNA", at positions 8 to 794 of the family's 1533-position model. The record is from RNAcentral.
AGAGUUUGAUCCUGGCUCAGAACGAACGCUGGCGGCAGGCCUAACACAUGCAAGUCGAACGCCCCGCAAGGGGAGUGGCGGACGGGUGAGUAACGCGUGGGAAUUUUUCCAGGGGUUCGGAAUAACUGAGGGAAACUUCAGCUAAUACCGGAUGAUGCCGAGAGGCCAAAGAUUUAUUGCCCUUGGGUAAGCCCGCGUUGGAUUAGGUAGUUGGUGGGGUAACGGCCUACCAAGCCUGCGAUCCAUAGCUGGUCUGAGAGGACGAUCAGCCACACUGGGACUGAGACACGGCCCAGACUCCUACGGGAGGCAGCAGUGGGGAAUCUUGCGCAAUGGACGAAAGUCUGACGCAGCCAUGCCGCGUGAAUGAUGAAGGUCUUAGGAUUGUAAAGUUCUUUCGACGGGGACGAUGAUGACGGUACCCGUAGAAGAAGCCCCGGCUAACUUCGUGCCAGCAGCCGCGGUGAUACGAAGGGGGCUAGCGUUGUUCGGAAUUACUGGGCGUAAAGCGUGCGCAGGCGGUUUUUUAAGCCAGAGGUGAAAUCCCGGAGCUCAACUUCGGAAUGGCCUUUGGAACUGGAAAGCUUGAGAACGGUAGAGGUGAGUGGAAUUCCCAGUGUAGAGGUGAAAUUCGUAGAUAUUGGGAAGAACACCGGUGGCGAAGGCGGCUCACUGGACCGUUUCUGACGCUCAGGCACGAAAGCGUGGGAGCAAACAGGAUUAGAUACCCCGGUAGU